AUACACCCUACCCCACCCAACCCUUCUUCACUCUUCCCCUAUCGAUUCCUCCUUUGAAGUUCUCUCUGAGAAUCCGUUCGGUUGGUACCAAUCCGUACACAACAGCUGGCCCGUAUCUAUGGAGGAAUUUCGAAUUUUCUCAAGAUUCACGAGCAGAAUUUUUCAUCAAAAGAAAGGACUUUUUUCAGAUUGCCACUCCAAGUUUAAGAAUUUUUAGAAGAGCCUUUUCUUCUUCGUCUGUUUCUAGCUUCUGAAGUUUCACUGUCAAGCUGGUCGUUCCUAGUGGUUCCUCCAUAAAAAGG
RNAcentral lists this unclassified non-coding RNA (302 nucleotides) under Hevea brasiliensis (rubber tree). Lineage: Eukaryota; Viridiplantae; Streptophyta; Magnoliopsida; Malpighiales; Euphorbiaceae. The record is from RNAcentral.